GGGCUUGACAUCCCACGAACCUGUGGGAAACCACGGGGCGCCGCAAGGAGCAGUGAGACAGGUGGUGCAUGGUUGUCGUCAGCUCGUGUCGUGAGAUGUUGGGUUAGGUCCCGCAACGAGCGCAACCCUCACUCCUUGUUGCCACCAGGUAAUGCUGGGAACUCUAGGGGAACUGCCCCGGUCAACGGGGAGGAAGGUGGGGAUGACGUCAAGUCAUCAUGCCCCUUACGUCCUGGGCUACACACGUGCUACAAUGGCCGGUACAGAGGGAUGCAAGACCGCGAGGUGGAGCUAAACCCAAAAAGCCGGUCUAAGUUCAGAUUGGAGUCUGCAACUCGACUCCAUGAAGGAGGAAUCGCUAGUAAUCGCGUAUCAGCACGACGCGGUGAAUACGUUCCCGGGCCUUGUACACACCGCCCGUCACACCACGAAAGCCAGCUGUACUCGAAGUCGCUGAG
This 458-nucleotide ribosomal RNA is filed under the name uncultured Methylomirabilota bacterium. RNAcentral's name for it is "bacterial SSU rRNA". It matches the Rfam family "Bacterial small subunit ribosomal RNA", at positions 977 to 1434 of the family's 1533-position model. The record is from RNAcentral. Lineage: Bacteria; Methylomirabilota (SeqCode).